GCCUUCGUGGUGUAGUGGUCAGCACGCUCGGCGCGUAUUCGACAGGUCUGUGGUUCGAGUCCCAGCGAGGGCA
Molecule: transfer RNA, 73 nt
Filed under: Stegodyphus mimosarum
Lineage: Eukaryota; Metazoa; Arthropoda; Arachnida; Araneae; Eresidae
Rfam family: tRNA
About the family: Transfer RNA (tRNA) molecules are approximately 80 nucleotides in length.
Source: Rfam by way of RNAcentral